AGGUGAUUCCAGUGUUUUCACUAGCUCUUUUAGAUUGCUGCUGGAUGGCUUUUUGUACCAUCAAGGGAUUUCAGAGGACGGAUUGUGUAUUUUUCUGACCUUUACCCAAGUGUUCACGCCCAAUCCUGAAAUGUACCGCGCAUAUGAAGAGAUGAAGAAAGCUGCCGAAUGUAAAGAUUAAGAUGUUUCAAUAUUGUAAAGGUGCUAAAUAAAUAAAAAAAAACUGUGGUAACAAAAUAUUUGAGCUUUAAUAGAAGCAAGAAUGGUAUGGGAGUCUUGGCAGUGAAUUAAGUUAUCUUGAUUUCGAAAAUAAGUAGUCAAACCUAGAAGACGUAAAGCAGCAAAAGGAAUGCAAUACAAAAGCAAAAUUGCUCCAUAUUACAUAUAAAUUUAACUUAUUUUUAUAUGCUAAACAAGUCGGCAACGCUGAGAAAAUUCCAGACUCAAUCAACCUGAUUGGUGGACUUCCGUUGCCGCGCGGUAGAAAUGCGCAUGUUUG
Sitophilus oryzae (rice weevil) is the source of this 499-nucleotide long non-coding RNA. RefSeq lists it as uncharacterized. The transcript is spliced from 3 exons. NCBI's taxonomy places the organism in Eukaryota, Metazoa, Arthropoda, Insecta, Coleoptera, Curculionidae. The record is from RefSeq and is a predicted model, not a curated record.